Molecule: long non-coding RNA, 515 nt
Organism: Phascolarctos cinereus (koala)
Lineage: Eukaryota; Metazoa; Chordata; Mammalia; Diprotodontia; Phascolarctidae
Source: RefSeq, a predicted model, not a curated record
CAGCCGUGGAAAAGGUACCUGAGGUGGACGGGCCUAUAACUGUUGUUCAGAAGGGAGACUUGAUCCUUAAAUUCUUUCACAAUGAAGCCUGUGAAGAGAGAAUGCACAGAAAAGGAGGUCAAGGUGUUUACCCACAUUGCCUGCAAUGGCCACGUGAGCAGUUCAGUUGGAAGAUUUAGAUUAAUAAGGAAGACCAGGGGGUGAUAAUAGCAACCACUGACAGAGACCCAAGGGAAGGGAAAGGAGCAGGAUCUGCAUUCACAGCUAACCAGACUCAAGUCAAGCUACAAUGACCUGCCCUGUACCCAUCAUGGUCACAUGCCAAGGAAGGGAAUGGAAGAUAUUCAAGCCACAGAAUCUUUGGGUAAAAAAAAAAAGAAAAAGAAAAACAGGGGGAUGAAUAUUCAGAGACAGAAUGCACCAGUUUACAAUCUUAUGAGCUUGGAAAGGCCAGAAGAGCUCUUAGAUUUCCAGUAGUUGGAUUUGGGGAUUUUGUCAGUGGCUGCAGCAGCACA